Molecule: ribosomal RNA, 450 nt
Filed under: uncultured bacterium
Lineage: Bacteria
Description: partial 16S ribosomal RNA
Rfam family: Bacterial small subunit ribosomal RNA
Source: RNAcentral
GUGGGGAAUAUUGGACAAUGGGCGAAAGCCUGAUCCAGCCAUGCCGCGUGUGUGAAGAAGGUCUUCGGAUUGUAAAGCACUUUAAGUUGGGAGGAAGGGUAGUAACCUAAUACGUUGCUACUUUGACGUUACCGACAGAAUAAGCACCGGCUAACUUCGUGCCAGCAGCCGCGGUAAUACGAAGGGUGCAAGCGUUAAUCGGAAUUACUGGGCGUAAAGCGCGCGUAGGUGGUUCAGUAAGUUGGAAGUGAAAGCCCCGGGCGCAACCUGGGAACUGCUUUCAAAACUGCUGAGCUAGAGUACGGUAGAGGGUGGUGGAAUUUCCUGUGUAGCGGUGAAAUGCGUAGAUAUAGGAAGGAACACCAGUGGCGAAGGCGACCACCUGGACUGAUACUGACACUGAGGUGCGAAAGCGUGGGGAGCAAACAGGAUUAGAUACCCCGGUAGUCC